This is a long non-coding RNA of Lineus longissimus, 1633 nucleotides long. RefSeq lists it as uncharacterized. The transcript has 3 exons. The record is from RefSeq and is a predicted model, not a curated record. Lineage: Eukaryota; Metazoa; Nemertea; Pilidiophora; Heteronemertea; Lineidae.
UUGUUCCAGUGAAUGCUUGUCUUCGACAGAUGUGACCAUCACCUGACGCAACCAAGCGUUAUUUAUUUCAACCCCUCAAACAACAAUGCAUCUGGACAUCUCAUUGGAGGUUAUCACCAAAAGACUGAUGUAAACCACUCGCAUUAAUUCCACGAUGCCCGUGAUAUCAUCCGGGGUGCCUCUUUCCUCGGCCAGCCCCUUCACAAUCUUUAGCGAUGGGCCUGGCGGAGUAACCCGACCGGAGUUUGACCACUCUGUUGCCAUGAGCGGCCUUGACACAUACACCUACUUCGAGAAUCAAGCAAGGCUGCAGGCAGAGCGAGAGAACAACCAGAUCAUCAACUACGAGGACACCAAAGCGGCCAAACUGAGCGUGGCCCUAAUCUUCCUGGGAAUGCUCCUCCUCAUUUUCGAAGUCUGCAAAACUCUUAUGGACCUAUUUCUCUAUUUUGUCGGAGCAGGCUACUGGGGCGGACUGAUAUACGGGAUGGCCGGUGUGAUAGGGUAUCUCUCCUACAAACAUAAAACAUACCGCCUUGUUUUAUGGACCGUAUGGACUUCAAUAGUCUGCCUCAUUGUUUCCCUUGUGAUAUUCGGAAUUGAGGUCGCGGCGUUUUCAACCGGAAAUGACGACGGUCGUCUCCGGAAGCCUUUCGUUCAUGUGAUUAUGUUAAUUCUUGCCUUAUUUGGAAGUAUUUGCUCAUUAAUGCUGAUGGAGUGUGGACGGACGAUCGUGUUCGGGAAGAAGCCGCCGCCGACGGAAAGCUGUUCGACGAUCGACGACCGGUCAGGAUACUGAUGAACGGAAGUUCGGUAAAUUCGGAAAUAUUUGUGAUCCGGAAAUGAAAUUGGUGUAGUGAUAGGACAACAUGUACUUGUACACUUAUCUGGCUAUUCGAGUACACUCUUCCGUAUGCUCCCAUUCGUGUCCACCGUAUGUAAAGAUAAUAUAUGUUUACCUUCGCAACACCAUAUAUAGUGUUAGAGUUUUGGAGGAUCUAAUGAAAUAUGCCAGCUUCUCAAAACGCCCCUCAAAAUGUCUGUAAAUAAAACAUGCUGAACAUUGUUUUCCUGCAUUUUGGGGGUUCCCCUAAAUGCUUGAUAAAUAUAGCGGUUUAAACACUUUAAUACUAGUGAAAUUUUGAAUCGACAUUCCCAUACUGUUUUUGGGCAGCGUCCGCCCAGUUUACGAAGAUCCCGCCAAAUCAACUUGGUCUGUGUACAUGUAACGCAAUGCUGGUCGUCGCGACAGGAAAUUGAUUCGCUCGGUAAUAUCAAUUGGGUCAUUUUACGGUGUGUUAUUAUAAAAAUGGUGUCCGCGAUGGAGGGCGAUCUACCAAAAUGCCGAAUUAUCAGCAUACCACAAGGAAAGGGUCGCCUUUUGGAGCGGUACGAAUCGGCAACGCGUUUGAUACGGGCUUGAUAGGGAGUUUUCGCAAAUCCCGCGAAAAGCCCACACAAACGCCUGUCCAAUUAGUGUUCGAUGUCGAACAGUGGGACAGGCGUUCACGUAGGCGUUUCAGGUGAUUUGCGACAACUUCCUCCUCUUAGGGGGUUUAGCAAGGCCCGAUUGUCUCAUAAGAAGGGGGCCGCUUCUAAAUACACCUUCUCCUUAAUCAAAGUUAAUAUUUGU